RNAcentral lists this ribosomal RNA (104 nucleotides) under Vallisneria natans. RNAcentral describes it as "4.5S ribosomal RNA". Lineage: Eukaryota; Viridiplantae; Streptophyta; Magnoliopsida; Alismatales; Hydrocharitaceae. The record is from RNAcentral.
GAAGGUCACGGCGAGACGAGCCGUUUCUCAUUACCAUAGGUGUCAAGUGGAAGUGCAGUGAUGUAUGCAGCUGAGGCAUCCUAAGAGACCAGCUAGGUUUGAAC